CUCGGAUCAGGUAGGGAUACCCGCUGAACUUAAGCAUAUCAUA
RNAcentral lists this ribosomal RNA (43 nucleotides) under Lophodermium conigenum. RNAcentral describes it as "partial 28S ribosomal RNA". Lineage: Eukaryota; Fungi; Ascomycota; Leotiomycetes; Rhytismatales; Rhytismataceae. The record is from RNAcentral.